GAUGAAUCCGCUUGUUUUUCUAUGCCUGGCUUAUUUUAUUUAACAUAUUUUCCAGGUUCAUCCAUAUGGCUCCAAAUGAAAAUUAUGUUAGUUUGUUAUGGAUGAGGAGUAUUGCGUUGUGCAGUUAUACUGCAGUUUCUUCAUCCCUUCAUCUGUGGGUGGACAGGUUCCACAGUGUUGCCACGGAUGACCUGAUUUCAGUACCCGUGUCUGGCUGAAGAGUAUCUGGUUGUGACUGGAUACUGCAGUUUCUGGAUCUCAUCCUCUGCGGGUGGACAGGUUUUUCCAUCUUGCUGGUAGUGAACUGAUGUCUGGAAGUUUGAUGGCCAAAGAGUAUACCGUUGUGCGUAUAUCCUUCAAUUCCUGUAUUUUUUCAUCUGUAGAAAGACAAGUAGGUUGAUUCCCCACCUUAGUUAUUGUCCAGAGUACUUCAUGAAACAUGGGAAGGGAGAUACCUCCUUAAGGUAGGUUUCCUUGGCUUUGCAGGUGUACCCAGUGUUGGGAUGGCUAGAGGAACUGGUGGUUGUGUUGUUGUUUCAGAAACCUCCAGCUGUCUCCCAGUGGGUAUACGAAUUUGCAUUCAAACCAGUAGUAUGUAAUAGUUCCUCUGUCUCUAAAUCUACACUGCCUUUAUCUUCCAAAGUUUUAUUGCUGUUUCUGGUCAUGCUCGUUCUCUGGGAAGAAACUCUUCUGAUGUGGACAAACUUUUCUAUUACCUGAGAGUCUGUUUCAGGUUUUUUCAGAAAUGCCUAUGCCAGUCUUCUGGGCAUUUUUAGCGUGUGUAUUGGUUUUUGUGUUUUUGUCCACUUAGGACCAUUAGUUUCUUGAAUAUGUUAGAUAAGAAGCCCUUCGAGAUCCACAGUUUUCCAUAAUUUUCUUCUAGUCUGCAAGAUGCCUUUUAUUUGGGUUCAGUAUUUUCUGUCCUGUGUUGAAGCUGUGUGAAGCUCUGAAGUUGUCCUUAGUCUUUCAUGGUUACAUUAGUUUUUCUUAGCGGUGAUUUCUGUGUCCCUUUGAGAAGAAAAGCGAGAUGGUGAAGCCAUUGUAUGGUCUAUGGGUAUUUGGUUUCUGUGUCUUCCUUUUCUGUUUGUAGCUUAGGUUCACAGGUUCAAGUUUCCCCAAAGUAGACACACACCCUAUGUGUUUUCCUUGGAGAUUUUGGUUUCAGGAUUGAACUUAGGUGUUCAGUAGAUUUUGUGUAGCUUUUUGUGUCUUGGGUAAAGGAAGGGUUCAGUCCUUUGCACGUGACCCCCCAGUUUCCUCAACCAUUGUCCCUUUGGUGUGCUUUUGGGGGAACAACAAGAAUCCCAUGGGUUCAGUGUGUAUAAUUGUGGGUUGAUUAUUUGGCUCCUUCGUUGUGUCCAUUUGGUUAUCUUUCUGUGUUCAUGCCACUAAUGGAUGGAUUGGAUCACUGUAGUCUUUUUGUUUUGUUUUGUGUGUUUUCUUCCUUUUUUCGAUUUUUAUUUCCAAAGCUGGGUUUUCUAAAAUGAUAGCUACUUUUAUUGUGAUCGAGGGCCAUGCCUGCAGGUUCACUUCACUAUAUGGCUAUACAGUAGAAUUUUGAUGCUUGGGGUCCUAAUGUACCCGUCAUCUGGGCGGUGAACACAGCACCAGUUGGAUCAUUCUUCCUCCAAGGCUCCCUGUCUCCCUUUUUUUUUCUGUCUGGUAGUACCCAACGUCUGUUGAUUUCAUCUUUAUGUUGAUGUGUAUUGGGUGUUGAGCUUCCACUUAUAAAUGAGAACCUGUAGUGUUUGGUCUUUGUUCUUGCCUCAGUUGCUUUGCAGAGUGGCCUCUAGUUUCACCCAUGUUCCUACUGAGGGCAUAAUUUUGUUUCUGUGUUUGAUUUUCCUUAGUGGCUUUUUAGCAUUCUGUGAUGUAUGGGUACCACAUUUUAAAAAAUCUCAUUUUCUGUUGGUGGGCAUCUAGGUCAGUUUUACAUCUUUAUUCCUGUGAGUAACACUCCCGUGGACGUGUGAGUGUCUGUGUCUUUUUGAUAGACGCAUGUGUUUUUCCCUGGGGUAGAUGCACGGGGUGGGA
Molecule: long non-coding RNA, 2034 nt
Organism: Pongo pygmaeus (Bornean orangutan)
Lineage: Eukaryota; Metazoa; Chordata; Mammalia; Primates; Hominidae
Exons: 3
Source: RefSeq, a predicted model, not a curated record